This 73-nucleotide transfer RNA is filed under the name Ailuropoda melanoleuca (giant panda). It matches the Rfam family "tRNA". Rfam says of the family: Transfer RNA (tRNA) molecules are approximately 80 nucleotides in length. Their secondary structure includes four short double-helical elements and three loops (D, anti-codon, and T loops). Further hydrogen bonds mediate the characteristic L-shaped molecular structure. tRNAs have two regions of fundamental functional importance: the anti-codon, which is responsible for specific mRNA codon recognition, and the 3' end, to which the tRNAs corresponding amino acid is attached (by aminoacyl-tRNA synthetases). tRNAs cope with the degeneracy of the genetic code in two manners: having more than one tRNA (with a specific anti-codon) for a particular amino acid; and 'wobble' base-pairing, i.e. permitting non-standard base-pairing at the 3rd anti-codon position. The record is from Rfam by way of RNAcentral. Lineage: Eukaryota; Metazoa; Chordata; Mammalia; Carnivora; Ursidae.
GCCUAGCUGGCUCAGUCAGUAGAACAUGUGACUCUUGAUCUCAGGGUCGUGAGUUCAAGACCCAUGCUGGGCA